This 253-nucleotide ribosomal RNA is filed under the name uncultured bacterium. RNAcentral's name for it is "partial 16S ribosomal RNA". It matches the Rfam family "Bacterial small subunit ribosomal RNA", at positions 524 to 776 of the family's 1533-position model. The record is from RNAcentral.
UACGUAGGGGGCAAGCGUUGUCCGGAUUUAUUGGGCGUAAAGAGCGUGUAGGCGGCUUUACAGGUCCGUUGUGAAAACUCGAGGCUCAACCUCGAGACGCCGGUGGAAACCGUAAGGCUAGAGUCCGGAAGAGGAGAGUGGAAUUCCUGGUGUAGCGGUGAAAUGCGCAGAUAUCAGGAAGAACACCCGUGGCGAAGGCGGCUCUCUGGGACGGUACUGACGCUGAGACGCGAAAGCGUGGGGAGCAAACGGG